This 497-nucleotide ribosomal RNA is filed under the name uncultured bacterium. RNAcentral describes it as "partial 16S ribosomal RNA". It matches the Rfam family "Bacterial small subunit ribosomal RNA", at positions 28 to 507 of the family's 1533-position model. The record is from RNAcentral.
GAUGAACGCUGGCGGCGUGCCUAAUACAUGCAAGUCGAGCGAACAGACGAGGAGCUUGCUCCUUCGACGUUAGCGGCGGACGGGUGAGUAACACGUAGGUAACCUACCUAUAAGACUGGGAUAACUUCGGGAAACCGGAGCUAAUACCGGAUAAUAUUUCGAACCGCAUGGUUCGAUAGUGAAAGAUGGCUUUGCUAUCACUUAUAGAUGGACCUGCGCCGUAUUAGCUAGUUGGUAAGGUAACGGCUUACCAAGGCAACGAUACGUAGCCGACCUGAGAGGGUGAUCGGCCACACUGGAACUGAGACACGGUCCAGACUCCUACGGGAGGCAGCAGUAGGGAAUCUUCCGCAAUGGGCGAAAGCCUGACGGAGCAACGCCGCGUGAGUGAUGAAGGUCUUCGGAUCGUAAAACUCUGUUAUUAGGGAAGAACAAACGUGUAAGUAACUGUGCACGUCUUGACGGUACCUAACCAGAAAGCCACGGCUAACUACGUG